This 430-nucleotide ribosomal RNA is filed under the name uncultured archaeon. RNAcentral's name for it is "bacterial SSU rRNA". It matches the Rfam family "Archaeal small subunit ribosomal RNA", at positions 474 to 903 of the family's 1478-position model. The record is from RNAcentral.
AACCAGCUCAUAGAGUGGUGAUCAUGAUUAUUUGGCUUAAAGUGUGCGUAGCAGGGAAUUCUAAGUCCUCUGUGAAAUGUCAGGUCUUAAGCUUGACACGUGCAGAGGAUACUGGAAUCCUUGGGACUGGGAUAGGUGUAAUGUACGGUUUGGGUAGGGUGAAAUCCGAUAAUCCAAGCCGGACAACCGGUGGCGAAGGCGUUACACUGGAACAGGUCCGACUGUGAGGCACGAAAGCUAGGGUCGCGAGCCGGAUUAGAUACCCGGGUAGUCCUGUGCUGUAAACGAUGCGGGCUAGGUGUUGGGGUGGCUACGUGCCACUUCAGUGCCGCAGGGAAGCCAUUAAGCCCGCCGCCUGGGGAGUACGGCCGCAAGGCUGAAACUUAAAGGAAUUGGCGGGGAGCACCACAAGGCGUGAAGCUUGCGGUUC